This 253-nucleotide ribosomal RNA is filed under the name uncultured microorganism. Its description in RNAcentral is "partial small subunit ribosomal RNA". It matches the Rfam family "Bacterial small subunit ribosomal RNA", at positions 524 to 776 of the family's 1533-position model. The record is from RNAcentral.
UACAGAGGGGGCAAGCGUUGUUCGGAAUUACUGGGCGUAAAGGGCGCGUAGGCGGCCUUCUCAGUCGAACGUGAAAUCCCCGGGCUCAACCCGGGAACUGCGUCCGAUACUGGAAGGCUCGAAUCCGGGAGAGGGAUGCGGAAUUCCAGGUGUAGCGGUGAAAUGCGUAGAUAUCUGGAGGAACACCGGUGGCGAAGGCGGCAUCCUGGACCGGUAUUGACGCUGAUGCGCGAAAGCCAGGGGAGCAAACGGG